AUUGAACGCUGGCGGCAUGCUUUACACAUGCAAGUCGAACGGUAACAGGCCUUCGGGUGCUGACGAGUGGCGAACGGGUGAGUAAUGCAUCGGAACGUGCCCAAUCGUGGGGGAUAACGUAGCGAAAGUUACGCUAAUACCGCAUAAGCCCUGAGGGGGAAAGUGGGGGACCGCAAGGCCUCACGCGAAUGGAGCGGCCGAUGUCAGAUUAGCUAGUCGGUGGGGUAAAGGCCCACCAAGGCGACGAUCUGUAGCGGGUCUGAGAGGAUGAUCCGCCACACUGGGACUGAGACACGGCCCAGACUCCUACGGGAGGCAGCAGUGGGGAAUUUUGGACAAUGGGCGCAAGCCUGAUCCAGCCAUGCCGCGUGCGGGACGAAGGCCUCGGUUGUAACCG
Molecule: ribosomal RNA, 397 nt
Filed under: uncultured bacterium
Lineage: Bacteria
Description: bacterial SSU rRNA
Rfam family: Bacterial small subunit ribosomal RNA
Source: RNAcentral